AAUGGGGUGGACAAAGGGCUGCAACACGGUGACGUGAAGCUAAUCCCAAAAACCAUCUCUCAGUUCAGAUCGUAGUCUGCAACUCGACUACGUGAAGCUGGAAUCGCUAGUAAUCGUAUAUCAGCAAUGAUACGGUGAAUACGUUCCCGGACCUUGCACACACCGCCCGUCAAGCCAUGGGAGUCGGGUGUACCUAAAGUCGGUAACCGUAAGGAGCUGCCUAGGGUAAAAUCGAUGACUGGGGCUAAGUCGUAACAAGGUAGCCGUACCGGAAGGUGCGGCUGGAAUACCUCCUUU
This 297-nucleotide ribosomal RNA is filed under the name Sediminibacterium sp. RNAcentral's name for it is "partial 16S ribosomal RNA". It matches the Rfam family "Bacterial small subunit ribosomal RNA", at positions 1229 to 1533 of the family's 1533-position model. Lineage: Bacteria; Pseudomonadati; Bacteroidota; Chitinophagia; Chitinophagales; Chitinophagaceae. The record is from RNAcentral.